UCCUACGGGGCGCAGCAGUGAGGAAUAUUGGUCAAUGGCCGGAAGGCUGAACCAGCCAAGCCGCGUGAAGGACGAAGGUGCCAAGCAUUGUAAACUUCUUUUGUCAAGGGACAAAAUCAGGCUCGAGAGCCUGACCGAGGGUACUUGAAGAAAAAGCAUCGGCUAACUCCGUGCCAGCAGCCGCGGUAAUACGGAGGAUGCGAGCGUUAUCCGGAUUUAUUGGGUUUAAAGGGUGCGUAGGCGGGCUGUUAAGUCAGCGGUAAAAGCCCGGGGCUCAACCCCGGCGGGCCGUUGAAACUGGCUGU
RNAcentral lists this ribosomal RNA (305 nucleotides) under uncultured bacterium. Its description in RNAcentral is "bacterial SSU rRNA". It matches the Rfam family "Bacterial small subunit ribosomal RNA", at positions 337 to 640 of the family's 1533-position model. The record is from RNAcentral.